GACUGUUUUACCAAAAACAUAGCUUUUAUAAAUAUUUAAAAGUGAUACCUGCCCAGUGAUAUUAAUAUUAAAAUUAUAAUUUAAUUUUUAAGAUAUUCAACGGAUGCGGUAACUCUGACUGUAAUAAAGUAGCAUAAUAAUUUGUCAUUUAAUUGGUGGAGGGAAUGAAUGGUGUAACAAAUAUUUCAUUGUCUUAAUUAAAAGUUUUUAAAAUUACAAUAAUAGUGAAGAUUCUAUUUUAAACCAUAAGACGAAAAGACCCUAUAGAGCUUAACUAUAAAUUUUUUUUAUAAAUUAUAAUAAUUUUAUUAAGAUAAUAGAAAAUUUGGUAGUUUAGUUGGGGCGACUAUCUUUUAUAAUUAACAAAGAUAAGCAAUAAUAAAUAAAUAUAUUUAUUGUAUAAUAAAUUAAUUUAACAAUUAUAAAAAUAGGCUAUAAUGACCCAUUAAAUUUUAUAAGUAUUUUUAAUGAUUAGUAAAUAAAAGCUACCUUAGGGAUAACAGGAUAAUUUUGUUUUAGAGUUCUUAUCAAAUUCAAAGUUUGUCACCUCUAUGUUGAAUUAAGAUAUCCCAAUAAUGUAGAAGUUAUUAAUGGUAGGUCUGUUCGACCUUUAAAAUCUUACAUGAUUUGAGUUCAUU
This 638-nucleotide ribosomal RNA is filed under the name Branchiocerianthus sp. r AP-2022. RNAcentral's name for it is "partial large subunit ribosomal RNA". It matches the Rfam family "Bacterial large subunit ribosomal RNA", at positions 1798 to 2615 of the family's 2925-position model. Lineage: Eukaryota; Metazoa; Cnidaria; Hydrozoa; Anthoathecata; Corymorphidae. The record is from RNAcentral.